CAGGGCCCGGGGCCCAGGGUUAGGGUUUUAGGGUCAGGGCCCGGGGCCCAGGGUUAGGGUGAUUUCCAGGAAGUGACCUCACAACGACUCAAGCUACCACUUAUUGUUGAUUGUGAUGAAAUGCCAGCUGAGGCACACACCUUGGGAGCUAAGUGGUUGCUGCACUUGACUACUAUGAAGACUGGUGUGGGAAGGGUCGCUUUGGAUGCACUUGAGCAGGGGUCCCCAACCCCUGAGCCAUGGAGCCGUAAGGAGCCACACAGCAGGUGAGUGGUGUCGAGUGAGGGAGUGAGGGAAGCUUCGUCUGUAUUUACAGCCACUCCCCUUUGCUCACAUUCCCGCCUGAGCUCCACCUUCUCAGAUGAGCAGCAGCAUUAGAUUCUCAUAGGAGAACGCACCCUGUUGUGAACCGUGCAUGUGAGGGAUCUAGGUUGCGCUGUUCUUAUGAGAAUCUAAUACCUAUUGAUCUGUCACUUUCUCCCAUCACGCUCAGGUGGGACCAUCCAGUUUCAGGAAAACAAGCUUAACACGCCCACUGAUUCUACAUUAUGCUCCUACCUCCCGGCAGCCUCGCCAGGCCCAGAACUCUCUCCAGUCAGCCUCUACAGACCAAGCUCAUGACUCACAAUGGCCUAUUUAGGCCCAUACCCUACCUCACGGCAGUCUCCGCAGAUGAGCCUACUGCCUCACAACAGCCUCCACAGGCACAGCUCCAUCGUUCCAAUGGCCUCUUUAGACCCAGCUCCUGCCGCCCAGCCUUCUCUCCAGGCCCUGAACUUUCUCCGUGGGACCAUCCAGUUUCAGGAAAACAAGCUUAACACGCCCACUGAUUCUACAUUAUGCUCCUACCUCCCGGCAGCCUCGCCAGGCCCAGAACUCUCUCCAGUCAGCCUCUACAGACCAAGCUCAUGACUCACAAUGGCCUAUUUAGGCCCAUACCCUACCUCACGGCAGUCUCCGCAGAUGAGCCUACUGCCUCACAACAGCCUCCACAGGCACAGCUCCAUCGUUCCAAUGGCCUCUUUAGACCCAGCUCCUGCCGCCCAGCCUUGUCUCCAGGCCCUGAACUUUCUCCGUAAGUUGAGGUAGCUGGGACUGUAGGUAUACAUGAUGAUACUUGGCUAAUUUUUACAUUGUUUUGCAGACAUGGGGUCUCACUUUGUUGGCCAGGCUGCUGUCAAACUAAUGGCCUCAAGUGACCCUUCCACCCCAGCCUCCCAUCCUCGAGGUAUGUGCCACCAC
Molecule: long non-coding RNA, 1242 nt
Organism: Gorilla gorilla gorilla (western lowland gorilla)
Lineage: Eukaryota; Metazoa; Chordata; Mammalia; Primates; Hominidae
Exons: 4
Source: RefSeq, a predicted model, not a curated record